UUGGCAGGGUGCAAUGUGGUGUUUGGGAGGGUCCAUUCGCGCCUUGAGCUCUGAUGUCCAAGUCCCCCUGACCGGGGCCAUCGCCCGUUGAGGGUGCAAGGCCUGUUGGGCAGGGCUGUGUCUCCGAUCUCGGCGCGUCGGGUCCCUUCCUAGGAGUCGGGUUGCUUGAGAGUGCAGCCCAAAGUGGGUGGUAAACUCCACCUAAGGCUAAAUAUUUUCCACGAGACCGAUAGCAAACAAGUACCGUGAGGGAAAGUUGCAAAGAACUUUGAAGAGAGAGUUCAAGAGUGCGUGAAACCGUUCGGAGGUAAACGGGUGGGAGCGCGAAGGUCGAACGGAUGGGGAGGGAUUCAACUUGGCGUGAUGGCGUCUCCCUCGGCAUGGUUUGGCUCGAGUCGAGCGGCGGUUCUGCCGUCGUUGUGGUCUCGGUCACCGGCUGGGAGCUUGCGCCGUCUCCGCCUUGUGCAUUUCCCUAUUCCCCCUCUCCUAGUAGGACGCCGUGACCGGCUGCUGAGGGGAGCCCAGGAGCUGGCGGGGGUAGCUGCGCGGACGAGUAUGGGAUUCGUUCCCUGCGUUCGGUCUGUCUGCCCCCCGCCGUUCAGCGGGUGCUCUCUCCGGCCGAGGAAUGCUGAAGCGAGAUGUUGUGGAUUUUUUCCACAACCUCGUCCAAGCGCGUGCCCACCAAACAACUUGUGGGUGCGGGUCGAAAGAGUCCAACGGGUGGCGGUGAGCGGCAUGUUGGCCAGCCUCGUGCUGUGUUCCAGCGGUUGUCUCGCGUCUGCUGCCGUCUGUCAGGGCGCUGACUCCCGCAUCUAUAGGGCGCUGGGGGUCGACGGCGAGUAGGUCGGUUUCCCACCCGACCCGUCUUGAAACACGGACCAAGAAGUCUAACGUGUGGGCGAGUCUUCGGGGACUUUGUGAACCCUUUGAAGGCGUAAUAAAAGUGAAGGUCCCGUGUCGGAGCCAAUUUCAUUGGAUCUGGCCGGGGCUGUAGUGGGAUCCCCCGUCUAAGGGCGGGGGCG
Molecule: ribosomal RNA, 1022 nt
Filed under: Oxidus gracilis
Lineage: Eukaryota; Metazoa; Arthropoda; Diplopoda; Polydesmida; Paradoxosomatidae
Description: eukaryotic LSU rRNA
Rfam family: Eukaryotic large subunit ribosomal RNA
Source: RNAcentral